GAGAGGGAGAGAGCGGCUGACGGUGACCAUGUAUGGUUGCUGAGGAAAGUCCCCCCACCUUUUGGGCGCGCAGCCCCAUGCAAGUGGGGAUGGCGAGAGUCAUGGCAAUGGCACAGAAACGACACGUCCUGCCGCCAGCAAUGAAAC
This 147-nucleotide RNase P RNA is filed under the name Methanocalculus sp. RNAcentral's name for it is "partial RNase P RNA component". It matches the Rfam family "Archaeal RNase P", at positions 1 to 138 of the family's 288-position model. From Rfam's summary of the family: Ribonuclease P (RNase P) is a ubiquitous endoribonuclease, found in archaea, bacteria and eukarya as well as chloroplasts and mitochondria. Its best characterised activity is the generation of mature 5'-ends of tRNAs by cleaving the 5'-leader elements of precursor-tRNAs. Lineage: Archaea; Methanobacteriati; Methanobacteriota; Methanomicrobia; Methanomicrobiales; Methanocalculaceae. The record is from RNAcentral.